This 322-nucleotide ribosomal RNA is filed under the name uncultured Cercozoa. Its description in RNAcentral is "bacterial SSU rRNA". The stretch from base 87 to 322 matches the Rfam family "Eukaryotic small subunit ribosomal RNA", at positions 718 to 955 of the family's 1831-position model. The record is from RNAcentral. Lineage: Eukaryota; Cercozoa. RNAcentral also lists the same sequence under 1 other name.
GAUUUCUGGCUUGGUGCGCGCCGUCCGCUUCGGUUACGGAGUGUGUGCGGUUGUGCGCCUGCCAUCCUUCUGGUUAGCAUGCUGUGCCCUUCACUGGGUGUCAGGUGCUGAUUGGAUCUUUUACUUUGAAAAAAUUAGAGUGUUCAAAGCAGGCUUGCGCUAUGAAUACAUUAGCAUGGAAUAAUAAUUUAGGACUUUUGUUCUAUUUUGUUGGUUUCUAGGACGAAAGUAAUGAUUGAUAGGGAUAGUUGGGGGUGCUAGUAUUCAGCGGCCAGAGGUGAAAUUCUUGGAUUCGCUGAAGACUAACUUAUGCGAAAGCAUU